UACGUAGGAUGCAAGCGUUGUCCGUAUUUAUUGGGUUUAAAGGGUGCGUGGGCGGCCUAUUAAGGUAGUGGUGAAAACGUUCGGCUUAACCGGAUACCCGCCAUUGAUACUGAUAGACUUGAAUGCGACAGAGGGUGUUGGAAUGUGUGGUGUAGCGGUGAAAUGCUUAGAUAUCACGCAGAACACCAAUUGCGAAGGCAGAUGCCUAUGUCGUAACUGACGCUGAGGCACGAAAGCGUGGGGAGCAAACAGG
Molecule: ribosomal RNA, 253 nt
Filed under: uncultured bacterium
Lineage: Bacteria
Description: partial 16S ribosomal RNA
Rfam family: Bacterial small subunit ribosomal RNA
Source: RNAcentral